This 309-nucleotide unclassified non-coding RNA is filed under the name plant metagenome. RNAcentral's name for it is "partial contains 5.8S ribosomal RNA, internal transcribed spacer 2, and large subunit ribosomal RNA". The stretch from base 1 to 105 matches the Rfam family "5.8S ribosomal RNA", at positions 50 to 154 of the family's 154-position model. The record is from RNAcentral.
GAAAUGCGAUAAGUAGUGUGAAAUGCAGAAUUCAGUGAAUCAUCGAAUCUUUGAACGCACAUUGCGCCCCUUGGUAUUCCAUGGGGCAUGCCUGUUCGAGCGUCAUUUGUACCCUCAAGCUCUGCUUGGUGUUGGGUGUUUGUCCCGUCUCCGCGCGUGGACUCGCCCCAAAGUGAUUGGCAGCCGGCGUACUGGUCCCGGAGCGCAGCACAUGUCGCGCAAACGAGUGCCUUGGUACGGCGGCGUCCAUAAGCCCCUCUCUCACGCUCUUGACCUCGGAUCAGGUAGGGAUACCCGCUGAACUUAAGC